AUCACCGGGAGAACAAUUUCUAGAUGCUAAAUUGAAAUGUAUUGUCCAGUGUCUUGCGUUGUCAUUCUUUCAUUAUUCAAGGUAUGUGUCUCACAAGGAAAUAGAAAAUGCUGAAUUUUGCAUGUGUGAUUGGUUCAACAACCUCAACCUCUGUCUCGCUGUCAACCACAUGCAAGCUUUCUCCUUGCUUUAGGUGAGAGCAUUUAUUUCAUCGCCUUUUUAGCUUGAUCAGAUUGCAAGUUUGAUAGGUUUCCCUAACCCGGGUUAGGAACCCUUUGAUUUUGGUUCCUUGCUAUAACUCUGUAUGCAAUUUUGUUUCUCUGUCCAUUCUUAGCUACAAAUGCUUAUUUAUAAACAGAUGGAUGCACGGUUCAUUGUAGUCUUGCAGUUUGGAAUACCAAAAAAAGCAUUUGUUUGAGUGGUAUAGCGUUUAGAUGUCAUUUUCUUGUUUGCUGUUUUUAUCGCCUUUUAUUGUCGUGCUAUGAGUUGAUAUGAAUCAGCUAGCUAUUGUCUAAUUGUUGAAAUACCACCCUUUCGAGCAGCCCUUAAACACAGAAUAAGGAAACGAGGAUAUUUCGGAGUCCCAGUUUCACUGCCUUCGUGGAUGCUGGAGCCACUACCACCUUUACUAUGUGUGUGGUUAGGGUAUAGAUCAAACUACAAUUCAACAAUGAUCAUCUACACCAUCAGAUCUGCGACUAUAAAACUCCAUGCUAAUGUUCCAUAUUCCUCUUCUCUGCUAAUUUUUAGAGUUUAUCCUUCUAUGAAUUACCUAAUUUCAGUAACAACUGACAAAUAUCAGUCUAUUUGUUAACAUCUCCAUCUCCAUCAAGGUUUUUAAAUUGACUUAAGAGUAUGUAUGUGCCCCUAUCAUUUUUUUGGUUCGUCAACAGAUGAAGUAAUCAACCGUUCGAAUGAGGGAUUAGGAGUACAUCAUCUAAAAUAUUGUUGUUUCCAGUUAAAUGUGUACCGAUAAAUUUAACUAUCAAAAUCAUUGUACUGAGAAAAAAAUUUGUUCUUAUUUGCAGGCAUUGUGUGGCGAUAAACACAUGACCAGCAAGGGGCCCUGCCCCCUCCCAAUACUAUGGAUUUGUUCAUAAUAAACACAUGAACAGUGCAGCAUUUGACUUGUUUUCUGCUCCAACCGGCCCUCCCCAACAUCCUAAUCCCAUUAAUCCCCUCCUCCACUGCAGGCAUGCCGGCCUUUUCUUAAUUGCUAUACUUUUGAGGACGCAUCACUAAAAAAACUACAAGAGGUACCACAAGUCUGUAAAACCCUUAUUACAUUUUUGCAUAUGUACAGAAGUGAAAAAUAGAAGUGAAUUUAGCUAUAUACUUUGAAAAUUGUAGUGGUUUUGCAUGUCUAAUAAUUUUUUUUGUUAUGAUAUUAUUUUGUUCGCCGGUAUUUAAUCCUUGGGGAUUUUUAUCUUUCCCAUUCAGAGUAGUCCAAUUGAUACUUCCGAUGGACACAUGACAGGUUGGUGAUGAUGUCAUCUAAUCCAUAUUGGAAGGUUUAAUAAUGUACUUGAACACUAAAACUAUAUAAUGGAUGGUUCUAGAUGGGGGCAGGGAUCCUCUAUUUCCUUUACCAAAUGGAGUCGGUCAUAAUCACAUGUUGUCUGACCUUAUCUCUAUGCUCUCUUCACCUUAUUCUUUGCAUCAUUUCACCGGUACAAGUCAUCAGAUGGGUAUUACUGUUUCCAGUAUGUUGUGUGUCGGUGGCCUGAAGCACAAGCUACUCACUAUACUAUAUAGUACUGUGCUACAACUGUGAAUUUUGCAAUCCUGGUAUACCCUAAUUUGAGGUGAUUUAUAUGCCAGGUUAUCCUAAUCUUUAUGUAUCUGAUGCUAAAACCAUCAUGUUUGCUUGCAGAGAUUCAGUUAAGACUUAAAUUAACAAUUAUGUAUCCGAAGACUGACAUUUGAGAUUAGAGGUUUCAUGGCAAUGAUGGAGUGCUACCAAAUUAUGUUCCAAGAAAAAUGAUUUCUGCCUCAACUUGACUACAUGCCCGGCCCUGAGGGGGGGCAGGGGGGGCGGCCGCCCCGGGCCCCCGGAAUCAGGGGGCCCCCAUUUAUGUAUGUAUGUCAUGUAUAUUACUAGUCGAUUUGGCCCAGCACACAGCCCAAACGGGAGGUCAGCAGGCGGCAAGACACACAGCCCUCUGAUGACGCAUAGAUUAGAUCGUGCCCCGCGGCAGUUGCCCAUCGCCGGCCACGCCGAGAAGCCGAGCCGCAAGGGCUGAUUCAAUGAUUUUUGCCGGCGUCAGCAGACGACAUGCCCCAUGAUUGUUCCGGGAGUACGUCGGCCACGCAGCCGCCGAGACAUCAGACAUCCCUAGUCCGCGCACCUUGCCUUUAUCCUCCUUCAGUACAUGUGGCAUUUCAACCGGAUGCAAUUCCAGUAUGUGCACUCAUGUGGGAAAAAAUUUAGUUAUGCACUCUCAAGUUUCAUAUUUCCUAGUAUACAUUGCAUGAUUUUGCUUACCCUCUCUAUAUGGAUCUUUUUUAUAUACUUUUGAUUUUUUUUCAGGAUAGAUUAUUGGUGGAUAGAUCAACUCUUGCACACCUAAUAUAUGGAGUUUUACUUGUGUCCGGCUUCACAAGAGGAACACAAGCAAAGUACCAGUGGCGUCAGGGGUCUUGGGCGGGGGUCGAAGGGCGUCGGCGUCGCCCACCACCAGUAGCAGCGGAAGUAGAGGCGUCGCCCACCACUACCACCACAACCAGCAGGCGCCUGAAGUAGACCAGCGCGGUGGCGACUGAAGUGGACCAGCAUGGUGGCAAUGGGCGGCAGAAUGUGGGCGAAGUAGACCGACGCGACAGUGGGCGGGCGACGGAGCUCUUCCUUGUGGGCGGGCGGCGGAGCUCCUCAUCAUGGGCGGUCGGUCGAGCUCCUUCAUGGGUGGGCGGCGGAGCUCCUCCUCCUGGGCGGGCUUGUAGGCGACGCAAGACCUGAUCGUGGGCGGCGCAGGAGCUGCUCCCGGAGACGGCUGGCUGCGGCAGCUAGCCGUGGCGACGGCCGGCUGGCCUUGGCGAUGCGGAUGACGGGAGGUGGAAGGAGAUGGAGUUUAUUUACAGAGCUUUGAAAGUGGAAGGGUGUUUUUCCAAAAAAAAAAAACUAUUGUACUGGGCGGGUGACAACUUUCCCCGGACGGAGGGAGUAUUGGUUUAUAGUGGGAGCAGUAUUCAUCA
Long non-coding RNA from Triticum aestivum (bread wheat), 3192 nucleotides. RefSeq lists it as uncharacterized. NCBI's taxonomy places the organism in Eukaryota, Viridiplantae, Streptophyta, Magnoliopsida, Poales, Poaceae. The transcript has 4 exons. The record is from RefSeq and is a predicted model, not a curated record.